AUAUGUUUAUGUGUCUGCAUGUCUGUCCUUGCAUAUUUGUUUAAUUGUAUCCAAAUUUGAUUUAUUCCUUUUCUCUUUUGCUGCUUUUUGGUCUUCAUAAUUGUAUUGUGUUCUUUUUUCUGUGAUGCGGUAUACACAUUUGCCUUUAGCUAAUUACUCUUGUAAAAGGCUUACAUAUUAGUUGUAACUGUUUAACAUAGAAUUUCUUGAUGGAAGGUUUAACUGUUUUAAUUACUCAAUACUAUUACACUCCCACCGGUAUUUAAAUCCUAAUGGAAGAAGCAUAUUAAUUGUAACUUCAUAAUUCAUAAAAUAGCUACCUUUAAUGUAACCUUACUACCUUAGCAUGCAUGCUGUUGAUAUGCUUCAUAAAGGAUUCAACAAACUUAGAAAGAUGAAAUUAGGUGGAAAUUACAGGAUGAAAGGUACAAGAUUCAAAGCUAAAAACACCCUCACCUUGUGUCUUCAACAUUUAGGUGAACCUUAUUUCAAGUAAAUAAAGGAACACUAUAAUUUUUAGAACUUGGGACUUCAACUUGGAGGAUUUGGAUUCAGAUCUUGUAAAGGGAGGCUAGGUAUAUGGAAUGUGAAAGAGCCAUCUUUUUUCUAUGAU
Molecule: long non-coding RNA, 613 nt
Filed under: Gossypium raimondii (Peruvian cotton)
Lineage: Eukaryota; Viridiplantae; Streptophyta; Magnoliopsida; Malvales; Malvaceae
Description: long non-coding RNA (GRAI_LNC007571)
Source: RNAcentral